CCCACAUCACGCCACGGCUCACUGUCCGCUUCGCGCACACGCAUCCGCGCGGCCAUCCGCCUCCUGCCAGCAUAUGCGGCAGGGCAAGGCCCCUGGCGCCGUGGCGCCAGCUCCGUCCAUGUCAACUGACCUCGGUUAUUCUUCUUCUGUUGAAAGAACCCCAGAGCUGUCAAUUGCUUCAACCGUGAUCCCAACACAAAGACGCACGCGCAACCUCUUGACCACGAGCGCAUCCCUUCGAAUCUCUGGGAACUCGCGCCUCUCUGUGCCUCCCGCCCCUACUGUUGUCAAGCACUCCUCAGCGGGGCCGCCUGCGACCCGCCGCCGCCGUCGCCCCUCAGGCCUGCGCCGGCUGCACCUGGCUCCUCGGGCCGCCCGGUGUGUUGUUAUUCCGGGGGAGGGCACGCACACGAAACUGCGCGCCCGUCCCGCGUGUUGAAGGAGCGGGAGCCCCAGGAGCAGGGAAGAAUGCCGGCGCCUCGUCCGAACUGACAUCAUAAAUGCCAUGCCCACAUCCAUCCAUGCGAUUUGCUUUACCCUCGCUCCACGAGCGAAAAACCGUAGAGUUUUGUACGACCCGUCACCAUCCAUGAACAAAACUUGCAUGCUGCUGCUGUUGUACUAUCCUCAUACCGAUACGCACACACAUGCCUCGCCCCUGGGAGGCGGGGUGUGCCGCUAGGGUUGCGGCGAGCUUAGGCCUUGAUGCCCAGGGUCUCGUUGACGCGCGCCAGCAGUGCGUCGGUCUGCUUCUUGGCGUCACCCAGGAACAUGAAGGUGUUGGGCUGGGGGUGGGUGGGGAGGGCAAGAAGGAAGACUGAGCGGCAAAGAGAGUAUCAGCAGAAUGCGAAGCACGCAGCGACUCCCAAGGUGGCAUAUGGACCUUCUCCACACCACCCGCCCGUCACCCAGCCCCGCUCCUCUCCAUCCCUCUCUUCAUCCCGCCCCUCCCUCCACCCCGCCGCGCCUCUCACCUUAUAGAAAACGGGAUUUUCAGCACCAGCGUAGCCGGCGCCCAUGGUGCGCUUCAUGAAGAACACCUGCUUGGAGCGCCACACCUCAAUCACGGGCAUGCCCGCAAUGACGCUGUUGGGGUCCUCCACCGCCGCGCUGUUGACCGUGUCGUUGGCGCCAAUCACCAGGCACACGUCCGCCUCCUCGAUCUCCUCGUUGAUCUCGUCCAUCUCAAACACCACGUCGUACGGCACGCCCGCCUCCGCCAGCAGCACGUUGAGCUGGCCGGGCAUGCGGCCGGCCACGGGGUGGAUGCCGAACUUGACGCUGAUGCCCUUGUCCGUCAGGUGCUUGGCCAGCUCGGCCACGGGGUACUGCGCGUUGGCGACCGCCAUGCCGUAGCCGGGCACGAUGAUGACCUUGGAGGCGGUGGUCAGCGCCUCCGCCACGCCGCCCACGUCAAUCUCUUGGUGCGUGCCCGCCACCGCGGCGGCGUCGGCGGGCGCCUUGGCGGUCAUGCCGUAGCCGCCCAGGAUGACGUUGGGCAGCGAGCGGUUCAUGGCCGUGCACAUGAUGUACGACAGGAUGGCGCCCGAGGAGCCGAUCAGCGCGCCCACCGCCGUCAGCAGGUCGUUGUUGAGCAGGAAGCCCUCCGCGCACAGCGCGUAGCCCGAGUACGAGUUGAGCAGCGUAAUGACAACAGGCAUAUCAGCGCCGCCGAUCGAGGCGGUCAUGUGCGCGCCCUGCACGCCCGCCAGCACGCCCGCCGCCACCAGCGCCAGCACGCCGGCGUCCGUGGAGCCGUCGCUGGCCAGGAAGGCGGCGCCGCAGGCCAGGUUGGCGGCAAAGAGGCCCAGGUUGAUGGCGUUCUUGCCGGGCAGCGACAGCGGGUCGGACUUGAGCACGCCGUGCAGCUUGCCAAAGGCAAUGGCGGAGCCGGUCAUGGUCACGGCGCCGAUGAAGUCGCCCAGGUAGGCAAUGACCUGUUGAGGGGUGGGGAGGGGGGGCAUGGUGGGUGAGUUGGGUGGGGAGUCAGCCGGCAGUUGCGGCGGAGCUCCCAACAUACAAACAAAGCAACCCCUGCUGCAAUGUUUGCAGUGUUGAGGUCGUCUGCACGCCAGCGGCAAAAGCCUCCAAGGCAUUGUGCCCUCCCGUCGCCCUUCUCUUGCCCCUCCCGCCCAAUCUUUUUACCCCUGAUCCCCCGAGCUCGGGCGUACAAACCCCUCCUCUCGCUCAACCAUCUAUCUGCCUCGGCCCCUUCUGUCCCCCUGCCUUCCGCCCCUCCCCCACCUUGUGCGUCAUGUCCAGGUGUCCGGGGUCUGCCGCCAUGACGUUGGCGAUGGAGGUGACCACCGCCGCCAGGCCUACCAGCGAGUGGAAGGCGGCCACCAUCUGAGGCAGCUCCGUGAUCUUCAUGGUCUUGCCCACGUAGUGGCCCGUGGCUGCGCAGUGGGAGGAAAUGGGGGAGAGUGGCAGAAGCCAGUAUAAACCCAAUAGCGGCCGCAAUAUGCACAAGUCGAUUGCACGAAACGCGUCGCUUCUGUCCCCCAAAUCAAACCCAACCCAACCAACCCACCCAUCCCAAACCAAACACAACCAACUAAACCUCCUCACCACUCACCAAUGCCGGCGCCGAGCAUGGUCAGCACCUGCGCGUACACGGCGGCGGGCGCGUUCAUGACGCCCAGGGUGGUUGCGAUGCCGGUGCCCACGCCCGCCAUGCCCAGCGCGUUGCCGGUGCGCGCCGACGACUGGUUGGCCAGGCAGGCGAUGGCGGCGAUGCACAUCGCCGAGGAGGCCAGGUAGGAGGCCGAGGUGACGCCCUCGGGGUCGCCGCCGGUGCCGCCCAUGAACAGCGAGGCCGCCACGUAGCCGCCCACCAGCGUGGCGGCGGGCAGCGCGUACAGCUGGUUGUACUCCAC
Molecule: long non-coding RNA, 2876 nt
Filed under: Chlamydomonas reinhardtii
Lineage: Eukaryota; Viridiplantae; Chlorophyta; Chlorophyceae; Chlamydomonadales; Chlamydomonadaceae
Description: long non-coding RNA (CREI_LNC000077)
Source: RNAcentral